Mauremys reevesii (Reeves's turtle) is the source of this 442-nucleotide long non-coding RNA. RefSeq lists it as uncharacterized. The transcript is spliced from 3 exons. NCBI's taxonomy places the organism in Eukaryota, Metazoa, Chordata, Testudines, Geoemydidae. The record is from RefSeq and is a predicted model, not a curated record.
UGAUACUGUUUGGCAAGUCCACUCCCAAUAUCAGCAGCACAGGAUCAUCACAUGAAUGCCUUGCAGGGUGAUCAUCAAUCAGACCAAGAACAGCGAAGUCUCUUUUUCCCAUCAAAGAUCUGUUUCAUCUCCUGCAGAGUGAGAGCCAAUACUUGGAUUAGAGAGAUUAUCUGGCUGAGACCAAAAAUUGCAGUAUUCACUCUGCUCAAACAACUUUCUGGAAUGGCUGCAAGUUUUCCAUAAGUCUACACUGAGAGCCUCAUAUUCUAAUGUGCUUCAUUGCAAAGAAGUGUGAAAUGUGUCAGUGAUUUCAGUCAGUCCAAUUCCUAAGGUGUCCACAGAAAUCACCACCACAAAUGGCAGUAACCUGAAACUCCGAUGGCAGCUUCAGCAGAUAGGUCAAGAACUAAUUGAAUGGAACAAAGUCUGAUCUACCCUGCAC